RNAcentral lists this ribosomal RNA (505 nucleotides) under Betta cf. smaragdina 2 BOLD:AAA5092. Its description in RNAcentral is "partial 16S ribosomal RNA". It matches the Rfam family "Bacterial large subunit ribosomal RNA", at positions 1866 to 2571 of the family's 2925-position model. Lineage: Eukaryota; Metazoa; Chordata; Actinopteri; Anabantiformes; Osphronemidae. The record is from RNAcentral.
GUGAUAAUUAUUUAACGGCCGCGGUAUUUUGACCGUGCAAAGGUAGCGCAAUCACUUGUCUUUUAAAUGAAGACCUGUAUGAAUGGCUUAACGAGGGCUUAACUGUCUCCUUUUUCCAGUCAAUGAAAUUGAUCUUCCCGUGCAGAAGCGGGAAUAUAACCAUAAGACGAGAAGACCCUAUGGAGCUUCAAACUAAAACAGAUCUUGUUAAACGCAUCUAAUUAAAGAAAUAAACUUAAAAGAACCCUGUCAUUUAUGUUUUUGGUUGGGGCGACCAUGGGGAAACAAACAACCCCCAUGUGGACUGAGAAAACAGUUCUCACAACAAAGAGCCACAGCUCUAAUUAACAGAACUUCUGACCUUNGAGAUCCGGCAAUGCCGAUCAACGGACCCAGUUACCCUAGGGAUAACAGCGCAAUCCCCUUUUAGAGUUCAUAUCGACAAGGGGGUUUACGACCUCGAUGUUGGAUCAGGACAUCCUAAUGGUGCAGCAGCUAUUAAGGG